Molecule: long non-coding RNA, 458 nt
Filed under: Zostera marina
Lineage: Eukaryota; Viridiplantae; Streptophyta; Magnoliopsida; Alismatales; Zosteraceae
Description: long non-coding RNA (ZMAR_LNC001382)
Source: RNAcentral
UUCAAAUAUCUUUAUAUGGCUCAGCUCAUUUUGCUAUCGUAUCCCCGUCCGAGUUGUGGACUUCCACGAUUCCUCAGGAGCAUUUCGUGUUACACCCUCCUGUCUUGGUGUGCCUCUGCAACUCCCGCUUGUCUGGGUUCUUUUUUCUGCAUCCCUUUUGUGUGGGAGAAAAAGUCGAUCCCUUGUUGGUUUUGGUCGACUUUUGCUAAAUGUCGAUCUCAUGUUGAAUUUCCUCGAUUUUCGCUAAAUGUCGAUCUCUUGUUGAGUUUGGUCGACUUUUGUCAAAAAGUCGAUUCCUGGUGCUUUAGGUCAAAAGUCGAUCCCUUGCGUAAAAAGUCGACUUUGCCAAUUUUGUCCUUUUGUGCUGCCUAGGGUCUAUAAAUAGGACCCCUAGGUUCUCCUUUUCCUUCAUCCAUCCAUGGCUCUUCUUGUGAGUCUCUUUGCUGAUUUUAUUCAGG